This 497-nucleotide ribosomal RNA is filed under the name uncultured bacterium. Its description in RNAcentral is "partial 16S ribosomal RNA". It matches the Rfam family "Bacterial small subunit ribosomal RNA", at positions 28 to 507 of the family's 1533-position model. The record is from RNAcentral.
GAUGAACGCUGGCGGCGUGCCUAAUACAUGCAAGUCGAGCGAACGGACGAGAAGCUUGCUUUUCUGAUGUUAGCGGCGGACGGGUGAGUAACACGUGGAUAACCUACCUAUAAGACUGGGAUCACUUCGGGAAACCGGAGCUAAUACCGGAUAAUAUUUUGAACCGCAUGGUUCAAAAGUGAAAGACGGUCUUUCUGUCACUUAUAGAUGGUUCCGCGCUGCAUUAGCUAGUUGGUAAGGUAACGGCUUACCAAGGCAACGAUGCAUAGGCGACCUGUGAGAGUGAUCGGCCACCUCAGAAAUGAAGAACGGUCGAGAAUACUAUGGGAAGCAGCAGUGGAGAAUCCUAGACAAUGGGCGAAAGCCUGACGGAGCAACGCCGCGUGAGUGAUGAAGAUCUGCGGAGCGUAAAGCGCGGUUAUUAGGUAAGAACAGAUGUUUAGGUAAAUAUGCACAUCUUGACGGUACCGAAUCAGAAAGCCACGGCUAACUACGUG